Molecule: transfer RNA, 56 nt
Filed under: Parasaissetia nigra
Lineage: Eukaryota; Metazoa; Arthropoda; Insecta; Hemiptera; Coccidae
Description: tRNA-Tyr
Source: RNAcentral
AAAAUAAUUUUUAGUAAACUGUAAAUUUGCUUUUGGAUGAUUAAUUCUUUAUUUUA